AGAGUUUGAUCCUGGCUCAGAAUCAACGCUGGCGGCGCGCCUAACACAUGCAAGUCGAACGAGAAAGUGGAGCAAUCCAUGAGUAAAGUGGCGUACGGGUGAGUAACACGUGGGUGAUCUACCUCUUAGUGAGGAAUAACCCUGGGAAACCGGGGCUAAUACCGCAUAAGCCUUAGCAGGGAAAGUCGAAGGACGCUGAGAGAGGAGCCCGCGGCCGAUUAGCUAGUUGGUGAGGUAAGAGCCCACCAAGGCAGAGAUCGGUAGCCGGCCUGAGAGGGCACACGGCCACACUGGCACUGAAACACGGGCCAGACUCCUACGGGAGGCAGCAGUGGGGAAUCUUGCACAAUGGGGGAAACCCUGAUGCAGCGACGCCGCGUGAGCGAUGAAGCCCUUCGGGGUGUAAAGCUCUUUCGUCAGGGAAGAUAGUGACGGUACCUGGAGAAGCAGCUGCGGCUAACUACGUGCCAGCAGCCGCGGUAAUACGUAGGCAGCAAGCGUUGUUCGGAGUUACUGGGCGUAAAGGGUGUGUAGGCGGUUCUUUAAGUUUGGUGUGAAAUCUCCCGGCUCAACCGGGAGGGUGCGCCGAAUACUGAGGGACUAGAGUGUGGGAGAGGAAAGUGGAAUUCCUGGUGUAGCGGUGAAAUGCGUAGAUAUCAGGAGGAACACCGGUGGUGUAGACGGCUUUCUGGACCAUAACUGACGCUGAGACACGAAAGCGUGGGUAGCAAACAGGAUUAGAUACCCUAGUAGUCC
This 756-nucleotide ribosomal RNA is filed under the name uncultured bacterium. RNAcentral's name for it is "bacterial SSU rRNA". It matches the Rfam family "Bacterial small subunit ribosomal RNA", at positions 8 to 796 of the family's 1533-position model. The record is from RNAcentral.